This 330-nucleotide ribosomal RNA is filed under the name uncultured eukaryote. Its description in RNAcentral is "partial 18S ribosomal RNA". It matches the Rfam family "Eukaryotic small subunit ribosomal RNA", at positions 1470 to 1796 of the family's 1831-position model. The record is from RNAcentral.
CCCUUAGAUGUUCUGGGCUGCACGCGCGCUACACUGAAGCGUUCAACGAGUAUUCACCUUGCCCGGGAGGGUUGGGUAAUCUUUUGAAAACGCUUCGUGAUGGGGAUAGAUUAUUGCAAUUAUUAAUCUUCAACGAGGAAUUCCUAGUAAGCGCGAGUCAUCAGCUCGUGCUGAUUACGUCCCUGCCCUUUGUACACACCGCCCGUCGCUCCUACCGAUUGAAUGGUUUAGUGAGGACUCCUGAUUGGCGCCGCCGCCCCGGCAACGGAGCAGCGGACUGCCGAAAAGUUGUUCAAACUUGAUCAUUUAGAGGAAGUAAAAGUCGUAACA